AGCGAACGCUGGCGGCAGGCUUAACACAUGCAAGUCGAACGCCCCGCAAGCGGAUUGGCACAGGGGUGAGUAACGCGUGGGAACAUACCCUUUCCUGCGGAACAACUCAGGGAAACUUGUCCUAAUACCGGAUACGCUCGCAAGAGGAAAGAUUUAUUGCUGAAAGAUCGGCCCGCGCUGGAUUAGCGAGUUGGUGGGGUAAUGGCCAACCAAGGCGACGAUCCAUGGCUGGGCGGAGAGGAUGAUCAGCCACACUGGGACUGAGACACGGCCCAGAAUGGUACGGGAGGCAGCAGUGGGGAAUAUUGGACAAGAGACGAAAGCCUGAUCCAGCCAUGCCGCGUGAGUGAGGAAGGCCCUAGUGUUGUAAAGCUCGUUCACCGGUGAAGAAAGUGACGGUAGUCGGAGAAGAAGCCCCGGCUAACUUCGUGCCAGCAGCCGCAGUAA
This 447-nucleotide ribosomal RNA is filed under the name uncultured bacterium. Its description in RNAcentral is "partial 16S ribosomal RNA". It matches the Rfam family "Bacterial small subunit ribosomal RNA", at positions 29 to 523 of the family's 1533-position model. The record is from RNAcentral.